AAUCAUGUUUCUGCCAGGCAAACUUGCCCUGUUGGUCUGUAACAAGUAUUGUAGGGAAGCAACUACCUGGUACAGUUUUGCAGAAUGUGAAGUGGCAUCCCUGUGGGGAGCCAGGUUGUCCUGGGGCCACUGCAAGCAUGGCCAAUGCAUUCUUAGUGUUUGUCACCUACAUGCUUCAGGAGAAGAUGUGAGGGUCUGUGCCAUUAAAUUACACUCUUAAGCUGAGAUGGGUCCAGAGUAAUUUUAUGCAUUGGAAUGAACUUUAAGAACAUGUAGUUCAACCCAUCCCAUGUUUUAGGUGAGAAAACUGGGAAUUAGACUAAUUAGAGCAUUUGUCCAAGUUCAUGCAGUUAUGAAAUGAGAGAGCCAGGUUUCAAAGCCUUUUUCUGGCUUCAAGCCCAUUCAUUUUUCUAAUGCACAAUGAUGUCCUUCUCAAGUGUAAAUGAGAGUUGAUCAAGUAAUAUAAAGUGAGAACCUACUCAUGCCGGAUAGUCUAUGUUGAUGCUGUAUAGAAUUAAAAUAUAAAUAUGUCCAUGGAUGUGUGGCUAGGUGGAGGAUGGCGGAGAUAUGGGUAAGUUAGGCACAGCUCUCAAAGAGAGGAAAGACAUCAGUAUAGAUAGACAUGGACAAAGGAAACGUGGGCGGUCCCCAUGACAGCUGCGCCAGGUUUCAGCAGGAGAUCUGCCCAGCCAGGGCUCUAGAGUUCAGGAGAAGGGGGUCAUUUUCAACAAGCUUAACAUGGGGGUGACAUUUCAACAGGGCGCUGAGAGACAGGAAGGCACAGGGAAGAGGACACAGUAAGCUCCUUGGGUGAAGACAGGCCUCCCUUAGGAGGCCAAGAAUAGAGCAGUUGGGAGGGAAGUUUUUACUGUGUUUCUUUCUUUUUUUUUUUUUUUUUUCCUUCCCUUGGACUUUUCCAUCCCCACUCUUCCAGAUUUUCUUUUUUUUUUCGUUAGACUGAUCUCCCUAACACACCUGGAAAGAUAUGGGCUUAUAUAACACUUUUCUAGAGACAAUAAAACUCCCGAUUAAUUCUUUUUUUUUUGAGAGAUAGGGUCUUGCUUAUCUAGGCUGGAGUGCAGUGGAGCAAUCACAGCUUACUGCAGCCUCGAACUCCUGGGCUCAAGUGAUCCUCCACCUCUGCCUCCCGAGUAGCUGGGACUAUAUAUGUGUGGCACCACGCCUGGCAAUUUUUUUUUUCAUUUUUUUGUAGAGAUAGAGUCACUCUCUGUCACCCAGGCUGGAGGGCAGUGGCAUAAUCACAGCUCACUGCCUCAGCCUUCCAGGAUCAAGUAAUUUUCUUGUCUGUAUAGCUGAGAUGACAGGCAUGCACCACUGCGCCCAGCUAAUUUUUAAAGUUUAUUUAUUUAUUUAUUCAUUCAUUCAUUUCAUUCAUUCAUUAUAGAGAUAGGGUCUCACUUUGCUGCCCAGGCUGAUUUCAAACUCCUGGCUUCACGCUGUCCUCCUGCCUGCACCUCCCAAAGUGCUGGGAUUACAGGCGUGAGCUGCAGCACCCAGCACUAAAUUAAUUCUUGAUCUGUAUAUUUAUUCACAUUUCUGUAAGAUAGGAAUAGAAGAGACUGUGAAGUUAGAAUUUGACCCACCUGGCACAUGUUGUUGUUUAUAAUAUUAAUGGUUAAGAGCAGGAGAGUUCAUUUUGAAUACUACCUAUUAAGGACAUGAUCUGCCAGUAAAACAUCUCCGCACCUGAGUAUGUGUCAAUACUUUGCAAACCUAAUUUAAUCCCCGCCUAUUUUGAAUUUAUGAUAAUUCAGCUGGGCUGCCCUGAAGUUGUUUAAUGUAUGUAGAAAAGCAGAUUAAUGGUGUAAACAAGAUUAUUGGGAGAACACUUAAGAAAACAAGACUUUUCAAGUACUUUGGUAGCAUUCAUUUACAUAAACACCCUACAUGUUAAUUACGAUUGAGUAUUAUCUAUUCAUUAAAGCAAGCUUGCUGGGUCUCUACUUGGCAAAAGCUCUGCUCGUUUUGACAGAUGCUUAAAAGUGAUCGAAAUUGCAGUUCUUUUUAUAUGUUCUAUCAUUUCGAAUUUGCACUAAUUUUCUUAUUACAGUGAGAAAUUUUUGUCUCUGCUUUUCAUUUUAUUAGGCAGUGGAAAUUGGAACAUUUGUGUUACAAAUCAGGAGAGCUUAUCACAGAAACAGGUUACAUGGAUCAGAUAAUAGAAUAUCUUUACCCUUGUUUGAUUAUUACACCUUUGGACUGCUUCUGGGAAGGGGCGAAAUUACAGUCUGGGACAGCAUACCUCCUGUAAGUGUGUGAUCAUGCUUUCUGAUGUCUGUGACUUCUCUAGGACUCAGUGUUUCUAAUGUUGCUUAUCAUUGUUUGUUCCAUUUCAGUUUUGAACAAGAAAUAAAAACAUUGAAAUUC
This 2388-nucleotide long non-coding RNA is filed under the name Homo sapiens (human). RNAcentral's name for it is "non-protein coding lnc-FANCC-6:1". The record is from RNAcentral. Lineage: Eukaryota; Metazoa; Chordata; Mammalia; Primates; Hominidae.